This is a non-coding RNA of Pteropus alecto (black flying fox), 119 nucleotides long. NCBI's taxonomy places the organism in Eukaryota, Metazoa, Chordata, Mammalia, Chiroptera, Pteropodidae. The record is from Rfam.
GUCUACGGCCAUGCCACCCUGAACGUGUCCGAUCUCGUCUGAUCUCAGAAGCUAAGGAGGGUCGGGCCUAGUUAGUACUUGGAUGGGAGACCAUCUACGAAUACUAAGUGCUGUAGGUG